CACUGAGCUCUACUAUAUAUAUCUGGAGAUCGUGCUCCCAUAUCUCGUCAAACAAAAAAGUGUCCGCAAAAACAUGGCGGAUUUCGAGCUCCGCGUCCACUAUUUUCGGGCGAUUUACCACUGACCACAUAAUAUUUUUUAACGCCACCUGUUUUCGCACCCCCCUGGAUGCAAAAAGUAUACACUGUGUAAUUAUUAAACUAUCAAGUUUCACAACUUUAUAUUUUGUCAACAUGCCGCGUUUGCUCGGUUUAUGGUCGUCACAACUCCUUUGACAAAGACCGGGACUGUAUUCACACUGUCACUGGUAAGGAAAUAUUAUUUUGUGCUAUCAUUCGAGAAGUUUUUUUCUGCAAAUGACAAUGUAAAGCAAACGGUAGUUUAUGUUUUGUUCACGUGCAUGUGUCACCAGCUUUUCUCGACUAUGGCUUCUUUUCUGAGGUUUUUGCAUGCAGUUUGUUUCAUUCAAAUAUUAUAUUUCCAUUGUUCCUUGUGAUGUUCUCGUGUGCGUUUUUCCUACCUACUGUACAGUGUAUUUUAUAGGCCUGUUUGUAUUUAUAAAAGCAUAUUGUUAUUGAAUUUUUUCCCUUCACAUAUUUAAGCAUUCCUGAUGCAAAGAAGCAUCCAGAAUUGUACAGCAUAUGGGUUGAGUAUAUGAAUAAACACGCGCCAGUGAAGUCUGUUCCUGUGAAAAGUAGUUGUUUGUGUUCAGAUCACUUUAGUGCUGAUAUGUAUGAGAUAAAGGGCAAAAGCCAGAAAUUAGUAUUGAGACCGGAUGCUAAUACCAACAAUAGUUACACAACGGUUUGCUCAGGUCAUUGGUGCGAGUUAAUUAAAGUGUUAUAUGUAACAGUGUGCAUGAUUUACAUUCUUUGCUAAGGGACAAGUCAUUAUUAAUGCCGGGUAGGGGGCUGGUGGAAAUUUUUAUGAAUAGCAAAAAUUUUUCAUGACCCCUUAUUUUUCUAACAAACUAUCCCCCCCCCCUUAUUGAGGCAACAUAUUUCAUAGCCCCCCCCCUCCACCCCAAUUCUGAAUUCAAUUACUCUAAGUCAAUUUCGUAACCAUUUUUCCUGCCCUCAUACUCAGUUUACUUGCAGAUGUAAAGAAUAUUGUAAAUAUUGAAAAUAAAGAAUAUUGUAAAUAUUGAAAACGAUAGCCAAGUAGAUAAUUCAGACUUUAUACCUGAAAAGUUGUCGGUCCUCAAACAAAAAACCCACACAUCAGACCUACUUUUACUAAUUGAAAAAAAUACUUUUGUGUCUGGUGGAAGCAUUACUGUAUAUUGAAGAGAUGGCAGAAGAGACUGACUGUCAACAACAUGCAGAAACAGAACAUGCGAAAGAGGUCCACUGUGUUAAAAGCAGGACAACAACUGUCAAUUGAAUCUUGCAUUUGCAAAUGCAGUGCAUGACCCUUUAGACAAAUUCUUUGGUGAUGAUGAGGAUGACAAUUUCCAUAUACAGUGCCUAGAACAAAACUUUUAGGUUCAAUCUAUUCAGGGUUUUCAGUUUAGGCCGGCGAACGGCGAAUUUCGCCAGACUUUUUCAUUCAACCCCACCCAAAUUCGCCAGAGCUUUUACGUUUAUAUAUAUAUAAUCCAUGUUAAAUAUGUAAUCCAUGUACAGGAAUGAUUGUUAGGCUUUUCCCUUUCGCCAUAGCUUCAUCGCCAUUAGCCAGAGCCUCACACAAAACUGAAAGCCCUGUAUAUUGGGCAUUACUGUUCAAUGUAUGUAUAUUGAGGUUCAAUAUAUUGGGCAUUACUGUUCAAUGUAUGUAUACUGUAUAUAUCCAUCACUCUUUUGAUAUUGCAUGUUACAAACUAUUCCAUAGAUUUUAUUUCCCCCCCCCCCUUUAUGUUCAAAAUAUUUUCUGCCCCCCCCCCUUCACUGGUCAAAAAUUUUUUGUGGCCCCUCUAUAUUAAAAUUUUUUGUUACAUUUACUAGGAAUGGUAUGCUGGAUAUGUUUUAAAAGAGGGCAUACAAAAAUUGUGUGCCCAAAUAAAGCAAAAACCCACUCAGACAGUUGUUCAAGAACAACAUAAUUGGCACAAUUGCCAUGAUAUUAAAUUCAUUAAGUAACUUUGUGUAGGACUUAUAAUGUGUGAAUGUUGUGUGAGUGUUAAUUUUAAUUUAUUUAUUAGGCCAUAUUUAAUAAAUAUUCUUGGUUUGAAAAAUAUUUUAAGGGGGGGGGAUGUCCCCACUGCUGGUGCCACCACUGGAAAUAUUAGCUAAUUAUAGCCAGGCAUAGCUUCAAUAAAAUAUAUUGAAGUAAAUAUGACAUCAAAUAUCUCUUUUAUUAAAAGCGAUAGCUAUGUGCGUGUUUCACUUGUAUAAUUUGGGACAACCCGAAAAUACCCUUAUGCAAUUAACAAAAUAAAACAUGGGUAUGAGA
RNAcentral lists this long non-coding RNA (2391 nucleotides) under Paramuricea clavata. The record is from RNAcentral. Lineage: Eukaryota; Metazoa; Cnidaria; Anthozoa; Malacalcyonacea; Plexauridae.